AGAGUUUGAUCAUGGCUCAGAACGAACGCUGGCGGCAGGCUUAACACAUGCAAGUCGCGGGAGAAGGUUCCUUCGGGAACUGGGCACCGGCGCACGGGUGAGUAACGCGUGGGAACGUACCCUUCGGCGGGGGACAACAGUUGGAAACGACUGCUAAUACCGCAUACGUCCGAGAGGAGAAAGGCUUCGGCCACCGAGGGAUCGGCCCGCGUUGGAUUAGCUAGUUGGUGAGGUAAAGGCUCACCAAGGCUGCGAUCCAUAGCUGGUCUGAGAGGAUGAUCAGCCACACUGGAACUGAGACACGGUCCAGACUCCUACGGGAGGCAGCAGUGGGGAAUAUUGCGCAAUGGAGGAAACUCUGACGCAGCCAUGCCGCGUGUGUGAAGAAGGCCUUCGGGUUGUAAAGCACUUUCGACGGGGAAGAUGAUGACGGUACCCGUAGAAGAAGCUCCGGCUAACUUCGUGCCAGCAGCCGCGGUAAUACGAAGGGAGCAAGCGUUGUUCGGAAUUACUGGGCGUAAAGGGCGUGUAGGCGGACCGAUCAGUCAGGGGUGAAAGCCAUGGGCUCAACCUGUGAACUGCCUUUGAUACUGUCGGUCUAGAGUCCGUGAGAGGAUGGCGGAAUACCCAGUGUANAGGUGAAAUUCGUA
Molecule: ribosomal RNA, 650 nt
Filed under: uncultured Alphaproteobacteria bacterium
Lineage: Bacteria; Pseudomonadati; Pseudomonadota; Alphaproteobacteria
Description: bacterial SSU rRNA
Rfam family: Bacterial small subunit ribosomal RNA
Source: RNAcentral